CCUACGGGGUGCUGCAGUGGGGAAUAUUGGACAAUGGGCGAAAGCCUGAUCCAGCCAUGCCGCGUGUGUGAAGAAGGCCUUCGGGUUGUAAAGCACUUUCAGUGGGGAAGAAAGCCUUGGGGCUAAUACCCUCGAGGAAGGACAUCACCCACAGAAGAAGCACCGGCUAACUCCGUGCCAGCAGCCGCGGUAAUACGGAGGGUGCGAGCGUUAAUCGGAAUUACUGGGCGUAAAGCGCGCGUAGGCGGUCUGAUAAGCCGGUUGUGAAAGCCCCGGGCUCAACCUGGGAACGGCAUCCGGAACUGUCAGGCUAGAGUGCAGGAGAGGAAGGUAGAAUGCCCGGAGUAGCGGUGAAAUGCGUAGAGAUCGGGAGGAAUACCAGUGGCGAAGGCGGCCUUCUGGACUGACACUGACGCUGAGGUGCGAAAGCGUGGGUAGCAAACAGGAUUAGAUACCCCUGUAGUC
This 465-nucleotide ribosomal RNA is filed under the name Vreelandella stevensii. RNAcentral describes it as "partial 16S ribosomal RNA". It matches the Rfam family "Bacterial small subunit ribosomal RNA", at positions 338 to 795 of the family's 1533-position model. Lineage: Bacteria; Pseudomonadati; Pseudomonadota; Gammaproteobacteria; Oceanospirillales; Halomonadaceae. The record is from RNAcentral.